This 347-nucleotide ribosomal RNA is filed under the name Isochrysis galbana. RNAcentral's name for it is "partial Bacterial large subunit ribosomal RNA". It matches the Rfam family "Bacterial large subunit ribosomal RNA", at positions 1321 to 1664 of the family's 2925-position model. Lineage: Eukaryota; Haptophyta; Isochrysidales; Isochrysidaceae. The record is from RNAcentral.
GUGAGAUCCCCCCUCGCCGAUAGCCCAAGGUUUCCCCGGCAAGGCCAAUCCGCCGGGGGUUAGUCGGUCCCUAAGGUCAAGCCGAAAGGCGUAGCCGAUGGAAAACGGGUUCAUAUUCCCGUACCACCAUGGUUUGUUUUAGCGAUGGAGUGACGUAGAAGGGUAGAUGAGCAGGGAGUUGGUCCCCUGUCUGUGGUCGUAGGUGUUGAGACUGCCAGGAAAAUCCGGCAGUUGAGCUGAGGGCCGGAGCGAGCGAUCCUACGGGUGAGCGAAGUUAUUGACCCCACACUACCGAGAAAAGCUUCUAAGUGAGAACCGUGGUGACCGUACCGCAAACCGACACAGGU